Molecule: unclassified non-coding RNA, 2227 nt
Filed under: Hevea brasiliensis (rubber tree)
Lineage: Eukaryota; Viridiplantae; Streptophyta; Magnoliopsida; Malpighiales; Euphorbiaceae
Source: RNAcentral
UUCACUUGGUUGAAGUUGAUAAGAUGUUUGGGACAUUUGAUGGUUUGAUACAAAGAGCUUCCUUGUUGGUUUCUGGAGAUACCCAGAAAGAAGAAGUGGUUGCUUUCUCUGACUCUGAUGAGAAAAUUGGGAGAGAAAGUUUGGUUAAUGAAGAAAAUUUGAUCAAUAGAAGGGAAGAUGGAGAACUAGAGAAAGAUGGCUUCAAGGGUUUGGUGAAAAGUUCUUCCACCAAGGCAACUUUCUUUUCAGGUAAGUAUGAAUUAGUUUUUAGGUUUGUUUAAUUGAAGAUUGUUCAUAUACUUGGAGAUUAUAAAAUCUUGGCAAUUCAGAAAUUUUAUGUAAAUCACUUGUUCUUGACAUACUUACAUGUUCAUGACAUUUAAAAUUGCAGAACAAAGUUCAACUUACAUUGAAUUCAAUUUGAGAUUAAAGGUAGAAAGUGUUUGUUGUUUGUUUCAAUCCAUAUCUUUAAUUGGUAAAAUUGAUGAUUAGACCCUAUUUUAGUGUAAUUAUUAAAAGGCUACUGAACUAAAACAUGGGAAAGAAGAUAGAACACUUAGAAUUUGUUUGAUUUAAAGGUUAUUGACUAAUUUCCUGCAUAUUAAUAAGAUCUUUCUGAAUUGAAUAUCUCUUUAAUUCUCUGAAAUUGGAUAGAUUUUCUUUGAAUUAAAUUUUGUGCUGUUUAUGGCCUCCUUGAAGUUUCUUUAAUGUCUGAAUGCAACAAUGGUAGGAGAGAUAGAAAGAGGGGGGAAUCUUGAGAAAGAAUAUAUAUAUUUUCCUUACAUUUUGUUCAGUUAAGAUGGUAUUAUGAAUUCUUUCAUUAAGGUUGUGACAUGGGACAGUUUUGUUAUUCCUUCACUCUAUGGACGUGAUUUUGGUGUAUUUCUAGGUGAAGGUGAACCUGAGAAAUUGAGUCUAAUGAUGGUGGCAGCUAUCAUAGAAAACUCUGCAAAAACUGAAGCUUUAGUUCUUGAUCUCAAAGGCAAGUUGAUGGAUGGAAUUGAGUGGCUUCCUUUCUCAAUUGGGAAAUUGUCAUUUGUUACUGAGCUGGACUUAUCUGAAAACCGAAUCAUGGCACUUCCAUCAACCUUUGGUAGUCUCAAAGCCUUAACAAAGCUUGAUAUCCACUCAAAUCAAAUAAUAAAUCUUCCUGAUUCAUUUGGGGAGCUAAUUAGCCUGAUGGAUCUCGAUCUGCAUGCAAAUAGAUUAAAGUCACUGCCAUCUUCUUUUGGGAAGUUGUCGAACCUCAUAAAUCUUGAUUUGAGCUCCAAUCAGUUCACUCAUUUGCCAGAGACCAUCGGGGAUUUGACUGGCUUGAAGAUGUUGAAUGUAGAAACAAAUGAACUAGAGGAGAUCCCAUACACAAUUGGAAACUGCUUGUCACUCAUGGAGCUGAGAUUAGAUUUCAAUCAGCUCAAAGCUCUUCCUGAGGCUAUUGGAAAAGUUGAAAGCUUAGAGAUUCUUACUCUUCAUUACAAUAGAAUUAGAGGGUUGCCAACAACAAUGGGUAACCUUGUCAAUUUGAGGGAACUUGAUGUUGGCUUCAAUGAGCUUGAAUCUAUACCUGAAAACCUUUGUUUUGCAAUACGUCUUAAGAAAUUGAUUGUGGCAAACAACUUUGCAGACUUGAGAGAAUUGCCACGAUCCAUCGGAAAUCUUGAGAUGCUUGAAGAGUUGGAUAUAAGUGAUGAUCAGAUAAGAGUCUUACCAGAUUCUUUCAGGUUUUUGUCAAAAUUGAGGGUUUUUCGUGCUGAUGAGACUCCUUUGGAAGUUCCACCAAGACAAGUAGCUAAAUUGGGUGCUCAGGCUGUUGUUCAGUUCAUGGCUGACCUUGUUGCCAAGAGAGACACUAAAUCUCAACCAUCAAAGAAGAAGAAGAAGGGAUUUUGGUACACAGUCUGCUCAAUCUUCUGGCCAUUCAGGAGGAAUUCCUAAUAAUUUUUCAUCGAUUCGAGCUUCAUGUGCAUAAGUUGAAACGUUUGUUCCUUUAUCAACUACUUUUUCUAUCCUAAGGUUUCUUCUUGUAUCAUUCCUUCAGAUGCCAGAAUUGCCAUAUCUGGUUUUCUCAGCUGAACUGUAAUAAGAAACAUUGUGACACAUUCCAUGUGAUGCAAAAUACUUGCUAGUUUAUGCAACCAUUUUGUGUAUAUGAAAUGCUUAUAAAAUGAUAAUUUCUAUUCAUCAAUAUAUAUUGUGUUCGAGAUACUGUAGAAAGUUAAGAGUUCAA